This 86-nucleotide transfer RNA is filed under the name bacterium. RNAcentral describes it as "tRNA-Tyr". It matches the Rfam family "tRNA". From Rfam's summary of the family: Transfer RNA (tRNA) molecules are approximately 80 nucleotides in length. Their secondary structure includes four short double-helical elements and three loops (D, anti-codon, and T loops). The record is from RNAcentral.
GGAUGGAUGCCCGAGUGGCCAAAGGGGACGGGCUGUAAACCCGUUGACGUUAGUCUUCGAAGGUUCGAAUCCUUCUCCAUCCACCA